GAUGAACGCUGGCGGCGUGCCUAAUACAUGCAAGUCGAACGAAACUUCUUUAUCACCGAGUGCUUGCACUCACCGAUAAAGAGUUGAGUGGCGAACGGGUGAGUAACACGUGGGCAACCUGCCCAAAAGAGGGGGAUAACACUUGGAAACAGGUGCUAAUACCGCAUAACCAUAGUUACCGCAUGGUAACUAUGUAAGAGGUGGCUAUACUACCGCUUUUGGAUGGGCCCGCGGCGCAUUAGCUAGUUGGUAGGGUAAAGGCUUACCAAGGCAAUGAUGCGUAGCCGAAUUGAGAGGUUGAUCGGCCACAUUGGGACUGAGACACGGCCCAAACUCCUACGGGAGGCAGCAGUAGGGAAUCUUCCACAAUGGGCGAAAGCCUGAUGGAGCAACGCCGCGUGGGUGAAGAAGGUCUUCGGAUCGUAAAACCCUGUUGUUAGAGAAGAAAGUGCGUGAGAGUAACUGUUCACGUUUCGACGGUAUCUAACCAGAAAGCCACGGCUAACUACGUG
RNAcentral lists this ribosomal RNA (512 nucleotides) under uncultured bacterium. RNAcentral's name for it is "partial 16S ribosomal RNA". It matches the Rfam family "Bacterial small subunit ribosomal RNA", at positions 28 to 507 of the family's 1533-position model. The record is from RNAcentral.